AUUGAACGCUGGCGGCAUGCUUUACACAUGCAAGUCGAACGGUAACAGGCCUUCGGGUGCUGACGAGUGGCGAACGGGUGCGUAAUGCAUCGGAACGUACCCAGAGGUGGGGGAUAACGCAGCGAAAGCUGUGCUAAUACCGCAUGUGAUCUGAGGAUGAAAGCGGGGGACCGCGCAGCAAUGUUUGGCCUCGCGCCUUUGGAGCGGCCGAUGUCGGAUUAGCUAGUUGGUGGGGUAAAGGCCUACCAAGGCAACGAUCCGUAGCUGGUCUGAGAGGACGACCAGCCACACUGGGACUGAGACACGGCCCAGACUCCUACGGGAGGCAGCAGUGGGGAAUUUUGGACAAUGGGCGCAAGCCUGAUCCAGCAAUGCCGCGUGCGGGAAGAAGGCCUUCGGGUUGUAAACCGCUUUUGGCAGGAACGAAACGGUGUCCGCUAAUACCGGGCGCUAAUGACGGUACCUGCAGAAUAAGCACCGGCUAACUACGUG
RNAcentral lists this ribosomal RNA (492 nucleotides) under uncultured bacterium. RNAcentral describes it as "partial 16S ribosomal RNA". It matches the Rfam family "Bacterial small subunit ribosomal RNA", at positions 29 to 507 of the family's 1533-position model. The record is from RNAcentral.